ACAGACCCAAGAUAAUAUUAACGGCGUAAAGCACGACUAAACACCAGUACACCUAUUAAGGUUGAAACCAAGCCGGGCUGUAAAAAGCCAUAAGCCACAAUAACAAUAACANCUNNANAACNNGACANNCCCACUCGUGAAAGUUGGGACACAAACUAAGAUUAGAUACCCUACUAUGCCCAACCAUAACAUAACAAUAAAAUCACCCAUUGUUCGCCAAAUAACUACGAGUUAAAACUUAAAAUUUAAAAGACUUGACGGUACCUCACAUCAACCUAGAGGAGCCUGUUCAAUAACCGAUACUCCACGAUCAACCCGACCCCCCCUAGCCUACAGUCUAUAUACCGCCGUCGCCAGCCUACCUUGUGAAAGAAACAAAGUAAGCCAAACAAUCACACACACUAAAACGACAGGUCGAGGUGUAACUUAUGGGUGGGACAAGAAUGGGCUACAUUUCCCAAUACAGGAAACACGGAUAAACCAUGAAACAAGAAACUGAAGGAGGAUUUAGCAGUACACUAGGAACAAAAUACCCAGUCGAAGACCGCAAUGAGGUGCGUACACACCGCCCGUCAUCCCUGUCAACCCAACAAAAAAUCAAUAAACAACCACCUAAUACUAAA
RNAcentral lists this ribosomal RNA (623 nucleotides) under Telescopus nigriceps. Its description in RNAcentral is "partial small subunit ribosomal RNA". The record is from RNAcentral. Lineage: Eukaryota; Metazoa; Chordata; Lepidosauria; Squamata; Colubridae.